CGUGUAGGCGGAUUCGGAAGUCGGGUGUGAAAGCCUGGGCUCAACUCAGGAAGUGCGCCCGAAACCACGAAUCUAGAGGUCCGGAGGGGAUCGGGGAAUUCCCAGUGUAGAGGUGAAAUUCGUAGAUAUUGGGAGGAACACCGGCGGCGAAGGCGCCGAUCUGGACGGAUUCUGACGCUCAAACGCGAAAGCGUGGGUAGCAAACAGGAUUAGAUACCCUGGUAGUCCACGCUGUAAACGAUGUGCACUAGGUGUCGUGGGUAUUGACCCCCGCGGUGCCGACGCUAACGCAUUAAGUGCACCGCCUGGGAAGUACGGCCGCAAGGUUGAA
This 331-nucleotide ribosomal RNA is filed under the name uncultured bacterium. RNAcentral's name for it is "bacterial SSU rRNA". It matches the Rfam family "Bacterial small subunit ribosomal RNA", at positions 568 to 898 of the family's 1533-position model. The record is from RNAcentral.